RNAcentral lists this ribosomal RNA (253 nucleotides) under uncultured bacterium. RNAcentral's name for it is "partial 16S ribosomal RNA". It matches the Rfam family "Bacterial small subunit ribosomal RNA", at positions 524 to 776 of the family's 1533-position model. The record is from RNAcentral.
UACGGAGGGUGCAAGCGUUGUCCGGAAUCACUGGGCGUAAAGGGCGCGUAGGCGGCUCAUCAAGGCUGUGGUGAAAGUCCGGGGCUCAACCUCGGAUCGGCCGUGGCGACUCGUGGGCUGGAGCACUGUAGAGGCGGGUGGAAUUCCGGGUGUAGCGGUGGAAUGCGUAGAGAUCCGGAAGAACACCAGUGGCGAAGGCGGCCCGCUGGGCAGUGGCUGACGCUGAGGCGCGACAGCGUGGGGAGCAAACAGG